CCUAAGAACAAGAAGAAGAGAAAGAAGCAUGUAAAUUUUGUUAUAUCUAGGCUAGUGCUACUAUCUAGACCAUUGAUGAAGGUGCUAGCAUGGGUGGCAAGUUGCUGAUCUCUUUUGUUGCAUUCUAGUAGGCAUGGCACCUUGUCCAACAUUGGUUUGAAUGAUCAUCACUAUGAAACAUUUUUCUACUUUUUUUCCUUAUUUGUUGGAUAGAUAGAUAGAUAUCCAAUCCAAAUUGGACAAUCUCAUGCCUA
Molecule: long non-coding RNA, 254 nt
Filed under: Elaeis guineensis (African oil palm)
Lineage: Eukaryota; Viridiplantae; Streptophyta; Magnoliopsida; Arecales; Arecaceae
Description: long non-coding RNA (EGUI_LNC019904)
Source: RNAcentral